Molecule: unclassified non-coding RNA, 370 nt
Filed under: soil metagenome
Description: partial contains 5.8S ribosomal RNA, internal transcribed spacer 2, and large subunit ribosomal RNA
Rfam family: 5.8S ribosomal RNA (bases 1-120)
Source: RNAcentral
GAUGAAGAACGUAGCAAAAUGCGAUAAGUAAUGUGAAUUGCAGAAUUCAGUGAAUCAUCGAAUCUUUGAACGCACAUUGCGCCCCCUGGAAUUCCGGGGGGCAUGCCUGUUCGAGCGUCUCAGGGACGAACCCUCGCGCGGGUGUACGCGCGGUCGUGGCUGCGGUGGCGUGCCCGAGGCGGCGGCCACCGCGCUGGAAUCCAUGGGCGGACGCCUGCCGCGUGGCCGAGCGUGAUAUGACGCUUUGGCGCUCGCACGCGGCGAGGCUGCCAGCCCUGGCCCGUCUGUCGGGCGGGGGAGAGCAAGACACGUGAACUCCUCGAAUCAGGUAGGGAUACCCGCUGAACUUAAGCAUAUCAAUAAGCGGAGG